UGGAUCGAUGAUGACUGCUGGUGGCGUAUGAGUCGUUUGCGAUGAAUACUUGUCUGCAACUCUGAGGUCCAA
Molecule: small nucleolar RNA, 72 nt
Organism: Camelus dromedarius (Arabian camel)
Lineage: Eukaryota; Metazoa; Chordata; Mammalia; Artiodactyla; Camelidae
Source: Ensembl